GCCUUCAUUUAGAGAUUUCCACUCUGUUAUGAGCUCUCUUACACUAUUCAAGUUAGAUUCGCUUUCUAGUCCUUCUUUUAGCUUCUGUUUGGUUGCUCAGAAAACUGAGGUAAAUGAGGAAAAUAUGAGGCGAAACUUAUAUGAUUUUUUUUUUGUAUUGUUGUUGGUUUCUUUGCAAUGAAAGAGAGCAAAUGUUUAGGCGCAGCUGUAAAUCUCGAGCUUUGUUCUUUAUUCCCGUUUUUUUUCUUCCGGCGACCACACGAACGAACGAUAAAUAUGUACAUUUUUGUGUAUUCUUUACUUGGUCUUUCCUGAUUACUAUUUUUGUUUGGUAAUUUUUUUCAUUGAUUUCAUGCAUCUGGAACUAUUCAGUGCACGUAAUUUAGGUUUCUGGCCUAAUUUUUGGGAUUUAGGUUCUCUUGAGAUUGACAAUUAAUUAUUGUUUUUAUUUUUAAUUGCAAUUUAGCACCCGAGGAAAGCUGAAUUUCUGAACUUCUGUUGUGUGAUUAGAUGCUUAGUUUGUGACAUGACUGAUUUUCUCGAAUACCUAUGUAAUUUCUGCUCUGUGGGAUGGUUGAUUUUGUUUGACCUUGAUUAAAUUUUUAAACUCUUUUUUCGCUAUUGGAUUCGGUUCUUGAGGUAAGAUAAAGUUGUGGGUAUGUUUUUAUUUUAUUUGUUUUUGUGUUCUUUUAAUAAAAGCUUGCUGUUUUUAUGUUGGGUGUUUGUUUAUUAAUGUUUUUUUAGCACUUUGUGUGGAUUGAUUGAUUGUAAUCCUAAUUUUCUGUGCUUCUUCUUAUUUUUUUUGUUUUUUUUUUUUCUGGGUUUUUUGGUUUAAUUCGUUCAAGGGUUUUGUUUAAAGGUGGUGAGGAGCAGAUUAUAUAAGCCUAUAAACAUGUAUUCAAAGCUGGUUGGAUUGAGGAAAGCUGAACUUCUGAACUUCUGCUGUGUGAUUAGAUGCUUAGUUUGUGACAUGACUGAUUUUCUCGAAUAUCUGUGUAACUUCUGCUCUGUGGGAUGGUUGAUUUUGUUUGACCUUGAUUGAAUUUUUAACCUCUUUUUAGUUAAAUGUUAAUGGAAACUGAUGCAAACCCUAAUGAGUAGGUGUGGCAAUAUGAGCUCUUGGGAAUUAGGACAUGUUUGGGAGACAAAGUUGGAGAAUUCAAGAACAGAUGCCAGAGGCAGUAUAAGCUAUUUGAACCAAAACCCACCUCUCCUGCCACCUAGAGAGCUGUUUUUUAUUUUUUAUUUUUAAAUUAAGUUUAUAAUUUGUUUUUCCUUUUUUUAAUGCAUAGAGCUUCACAUCAAACAGCAAAUAAGGUUUUCUUACUUUGUGCCAAAUGGAGGGUCCUUAGCUUCUCUCUCUUCUCUCUCUUUUCUCUCUGUUGUGUGAAGUUCUCAGUGAAAAAUCGAAAGCUUGGGUUCUUAUCCAUCUUAAUUUUUAUUAAAUGAAAACCGUGGGUUGGGUUCAAUCACUGCUACCAUUGGACUAUGAUACUCUUCGAUAAGAUAUAUUUAUUUUAAAUUUGUUAAGGUUCAUCAUUACAAAAAUACAAUUUUAAUUAUUUAAUUUGAAAUUAUAUGCUGUAAUUUUAUUCAGAUUUGUUUAUAUUAACUACAAGAUUAUUUCUUGCUGGUUCUUGCUUCUCAAAAGUUGUCUUAAAUGCUUAUUAUGUUGCCACUUGUCAUAACCCUUGAUACUUGGUUCAAGUAGCAAAGUGUUGGGGUGGGAUGCUGGUAGGUUUCCAAUUUCAUUUUCAGGGGAGGAAAAAAUUGUUACCUAUAUAAAAUGUUUAUUUGUUGUGAUACUUAUUUACAAACUUAAGUGACUUUAACUUCAGUGGUGUUGCAGGGAGUAUUCUGGCUAUAAGCUGCUGUGGUGGUAGCCUUUUCAUUUACCCCAAGUUUUCUUCACGCUCUCUGUAUCAACGUUUCAUGGAGGAGAUGAUCUUCAAAUAGAAGCAUUGCCAGUUGGAUCUAUUGCUUCCGACUCCGCCGUAACUGCACUGUUAUACUGGCAAGGAAAGCUUUUUGUUGGCUGUGCUGAUAGAAUUAUCAAGGUGUAUUCUGGGCAGUGAUGGAAGCAUCACUUAAGAAGAUGUCAACCAAACUUAAUACGUUGGCAAAGCUGCCAAGGGUGAUGGGUCCAUUGCUGAGAUGAAAACGGGGGAAGGAAAAACCUUGGUUUCCACAUUAGCAGCCUCUCUCAAUGCCCUCACUGGUGAGGGUGUUCAUGGAUGAUAUGCCAAAGCCUGGUCAAGCCCCUCGUCCUGCUGGAGGAGCUCCUGUUCGCACCUGAUAAAAAGAAGUUGAUUUCCUCUGCCAUUCUGCUUUCAAACAGUUACCUGAAAUUUUCAGAACUUUUGAGGCCAUUUGUUUUUGUUUUUCUUGGUUUGGGCGAUUUUGAUUAUGAUGGAAGGUUUAACUUUUGCUGUUUAAUGCUUUUGAGUAUUAAUGUAGUAUCAGGAAAAUGAAAAUUGAGACACGAGAAUGAAUUUCAUUUUUUUAACUA
Vitis riparia (riverbank grape) is the source of this 2509-nucleotide RNA transcript. RefSeq lists it as uncharacterized. The record is from RefSeq and is a predicted model, not a curated record. The transcript is spliced from 4 exons. Lineage: Eukaryota; Viridiplantae; Streptophyta; Magnoliopsida; Vitales; Vitaceae.